RNAcentral lists this ribosomal RNA (301 nucleotides) under uncultured bacterium. RNAcentral describes it as "partial 16S ribosomal RNA". It matches the Rfam family "Bacterial small subunit ribosomal RNA", at positions 509 to 807 of the family's 1533-position model. The record is from RNAcentral.
CAGCCGCCGCGGUAAUACGUAGGUGGCAAGCGUUGUCCGGAAUUAUUGGGCGUAAAGCGCGCGCAGGUGGUUUAAUAAGUCUGAUGUGAAAGCCCACGGCUCAACCGUGGAGGGUCAUUGGAAACUGUUAAACUUGAGUGCAGGAGAGAAAAGUGGAAUUCCUAGUGUAGCGGUGAAAUGCGUAGAGAUUAGGAGGAACACCAGUGGCGAAGGCGGCUUUUUGGCCUGUAACUGACACUGAGGCGCGAAAGCGUGGGGAGCAAACAGGAUUAGAUACCCGUGUAGUCCCUGUCUCUUAUAC